AACGAACGCUGGCGGCAUGCCUAACACAUGCAAGUCGAACGAGACCUUCGGGUCUAGUGGCGCACGGGUGCGUAACGCGUGGGAAUCUGCCCUUGGGUUCGGGAGAACAGGUGGAAACGACUGCUAAUACCGGAGGAUGACUUCGGUCCAAAGAUUUAUCGCCCAGGGAUGAGCCCGCGUCGGAUUCGCUAGUUGGUGAGGUAAGAGCUCACCAAGGCGACGAUCCGUAGCUGGUCUGAGAGGAUGAUCCGCCACACUGGGACUGAGACACGGCCCAGACUCCUACGGGAGGCAGCAGUGGGGAAUAUUGGACAAUGGGCGAAAGCAUGAUCCAGCACUGCCGCGUGAGUGAUGAAGGCCUUAGGGUUGUAAAGCUCUUUUACCCGGGAUGAUAAUGACAGUACCGGGAGAAUAAGCCCCGGCUAACUCCGUG
RNAcentral lists this ribosomal RNA (433 nucleotides) under uncultured bacterium. Its description in RNAcentral is "partial 16S ribosomal RNA". It matches the Rfam family "Bacterial small subunit ribosomal RNA", at positions 29 to 507 of the family's 1533-position model. The record is from RNAcentral.